AGCAGCCGCGGUAAUUCCAGCUCCAAUAGCGUAUAUUAAAGUUGUUGCAGUUAAAAAGCUCGUAGUUGAAUUUCGGGAUCAAUAUGUUGGUCGUGCCUCGGUACGUACUAGCUUAUUGGUUUCUCCUUUCUGAAGAACCAUGAUGUCAUUCAUUUGGUGUCGUGGGGAAUCAGGACUGUUACUUUGAAAAAUUAGAGUGUUUAAAGCAGGCUCACGCUUGAAUACAUUAGCAUGGAAUAAUGAAAUAGGACGUUUGAUUCUAUUUUGUUGGUUUCUAGGAUCGACGUAAUGAUUAAUAAGGAUAGUUGGGGGCAUUAGUAUUCAAUUGUCAGAGGUGAAAUUCUUGGAUUUAUUGAAGACUAACUACUGCGAAAGCAUUUGCCAAGGAUGUUUUCAUUAAUCAAGAACGAAAGUUAGGGGGAUCGAAGACGAUC
This 434-nucleotide ribosomal RNA is filed under the name uncultured Glomus. RNAcentral's name for it is "SSU rRNA". It matches the Rfam family "Eukaryotic small subunit ribosomal RNA", at positions 569 to 1009 of the family's 1831-position model. Lineage: Eukaryota; Fungi; Glomeromycota; Glomeromycetes; Glomerales; Glomeraceae. The record is from RNAcentral.